UACGAAGGGGGCUAGCGUUGUUCGGAAUUACUGGGCGUAAAGGGCGCGUAGGCGGCCUGCUAAGUCGAACGUGAAAUCCCCGAGCUCAACUCGGGAACUGCGUCCGAUACUGGAUGGCUUGAAUCCGGGAGAGGGAUGCAGAAUUCCAGGUGUAGCGGUGAAAUGCGUAGAUAUCUGGAGGAAUACCGGUGGCGAAGGCGGCAUCCUGGACCGGCAUUGACGCUGAGGAGCGAAAGCCAGGGGAGCAAACGGG
This 253-nucleotide ribosomal RNA is filed under the name uncultured bacterium. Its description in RNAcentral is "partial 16S ribosomal RNA". It matches the Rfam family "Bacterial small subunit ribosomal RNA", at positions 524 to 776 of the family's 1533-position model. The record is from RNAcentral.